Long non-coding RNA from Mastomys coucha (southern multimammate mouse), 517 nucleotides. RefSeq lists it as uncharacterized. The record is from RefSeq and is a predicted model, not a curated record. The transcript has 5 exons. Lineage: Eukaryota; Metazoa; Chordata; Mammalia; Rodentia; Muridae.
UAAAAAAAAAAAUGCUUUCAUGCUGAGAAUGAUGCUUCUCCCUGAAGAGCUUAAACUGGCAUUGUCUAUACGAAUCGCAGAGGCGUUGACAGGAUUGAACUGGAUUCCCACCUCCUAGUCAAAGACUGCCUGCUGCAACCACCUUCUGAUGGACAAAGAACCCCAGUGCUUUCUCAUCCUUGCUCGGAGAUGCUGGCAGUUUGGGGAAAGCACCAGUGCAGAAGUAAAGAGAGAAACCCUGCAGAUUUAUGAAGAUAUAUAAGGCCUCCUGACAGGCGCAGAUACAAAGAAAGUGAGAAGAGACCGUUGCAUGAUGAUCCCACAGGAAGCCGUGAAACACAGUCAUCAAGAAGCCACCCCUCAGACAAGCUGCUACCUGUGAAUUCAUCGGAUUUGAGGGUGUACAGCACUCAAAGACGGGGGUCCUCGUCCUGGCCGGUGCUGCAUGGAAGAAUAAAGUAUAACUGUGCUGCAGAGAAAGUCAGAAGCAAGUCAAACAACCCCACAGCACUUGGUG